RNAcentral lists this ribosomal RNA (501 nucleotides) under uncultured bacterium. Its description in RNAcentral is "partial 16S ribosomal RNA". It matches the Rfam family "Bacterial small subunit ribosomal RNA", at positions 30 to 523 of the family's 1533-position model. The record is from RNAcentral.
AUUGAACGCUGGCGGCAGGCUUAACACAUGCAAGUCGAGCGGGGAAAAGUAGCUUGCUACUGGACCUAGCGGCGGACGGGUGAGUAAUGCUUAGGAAUCUGCCUAUUAGUGGGGGACAACAUCUCGAAAGGGAUGCUAAUACCGCAUACGUCCUACGGGAGAAAGCAGGGGACCUUCGGGCCUUGCGCUAAUAGAUGAGCCUAAGUCGGAUUAGCUAGUUGGUGGGGUAAAGGCCUACCAAGGCGACGAUCUGUAGCGGGUCUGAGAGGAUGAUCCGCCACACUGGGACUGAGACACGGCCCAGACUCCUACGGGAGGCAGCAGUGGGGAAUAUUGGACAAUGGGGGGAACCCUGAUCCAGCCAUGCCGCGUGUGUGAAGAAGGCCUUUUGGUUGUAAAGCACUUUAAGCGAGGAGGAGGCUACCGAGAUUAAUACUCUUGGAUAGUGGACGUUACUCGCAGAAUAAGCACCGGCUAACUCUGUGCCAGCAGCCGCCGUAA